GUAAAGUCAGAGAAGAAGGAGGAGAAGAAGAAGAAGAAGAUC
This 42-nucleotide small RNA is filed under the name Arabidopsis thaliana (thale cress). Its description in RNAcentral is "ATSL175830". The record is from RNAcentral. Lineage: Eukaryota; Viridiplantae; Streptophyta; Magnoliopsida; Brassicales; Brassicaceae.